This 253-nucleotide ribosomal RNA is filed under the name uncultured bacterium. Its description in RNAcentral is "partial 16S ribosomal RNA". It matches the Rfam family "Bacterial small subunit ribosomal RNA", at positions 524 to 776 of the family's 1533-position model. The record is from RNAcentral.
UACGUAGGGGGCGAGCGUUGUCCGGAUUUAUUGGGCGUAAAGAGCGUGUAGGCGGUUCGGUAAGUCUGUCGUGAAAUCCUGAGGCUCAACCUCGGGCGUGCGAUGGAUACUGCCGGGCUAGAGGGUGGUAGAGGCGAGUGGAAUUCCCAGUGUAGAGGUGAAAUUCGUAGAUAUUGGGAAGAACACCAGUGGCGAAGGCGGCUCACUGGCCCGUAACUGACGCUGAGGUGCGAAAGCGUGGGGAGCAAACAGG